Molecule: microRNA, 22 nt
Filed under: Anopheles gambiae (African malaria mosquito)
Lineage: Eukaryota; Metazoa; Arthropoda; Insecta; Diptera; Culicidae
Description: aga-miR-33-3p
Gene: aga-miR-33-3p
Source: miRBase by way of RNAcentral
CAGUACUUCUGCAAUGCAACCC